Molecule: ribosomal RNA, 1462 nt
Filed under: Bacillus subtilis
Lineage: Bacteria; Bacillati; Bacillota; Bacilli; Caryophanales; Bacillaceae
Description: bacterial SSU rRNA
Rfam family: Bacterial small subunit ribosomal RNA
Source: RNAcentral
CAGGGCACCCCCCUCACUAAUACAUGCCAAGUCGAGCGGACAGAUGGGAGCUUGCUCCCUGAUGUUAGCGGCGGACGGGUGAGUAACACGUGGGUAACCUGCCUGUAAGACUGGGAUAACUCCGGGAAACCGGGGCUAAUACCGGAUGCUUGUUUGAACCGCAUGGUUCAAACAUAAAAGGUGGCUUCGGCUACCACUUACAGAUGGACCCGCGGCGCAUUAGCUAGUUGGUGAGGUAAUGGCUCACCAAGGCGACGAUGCGUAGCCGACCUGAGAGGGUGAUCGGCCACACUGGGACUGAGACACGGCCCAGACUCCUACGGGAGGCAGCAGUAGGGAAUCUUCCGCAAUGGACGAAAGUCUGACGGAGCAACGCCGCGUGAGUGAUGAAGGUUUUCGGAUCGUAAAGCUCUGUUGUUAGGGAAGAACAAGUACCGUUCGAAUAGGGCGGUACCUUGACGGUACCUAACCAGAAAGCCACGGCUAACUACGUGCCAGCAGCCGCGGUAAUACGUAGGUGGCAAGCGUUGUCCGGAAUUAUUGGGCGUAAAGGGCUCGCAGGCGGUUUCUUAAGUCUGAUGUGAAAGCCCCCGGCUCAACCGGGGAGGGUCAUUGGAAACUGGGGAACUUGAGUGCAGAAGAGGAGAGUGGAAUUCCACGUGUAGCGGUGAAAUGCGUAGAGAUGUGGAGGAACACCAGUGGCGAAGGCGACUCUCUGGUCUGUAACUGACGCUGAGGAGCGAAAGCGUGGGGAGCGAACAGGAUUAGAUACCCUGGUAGUCCACGCCGUAAACGAUGAGUGCUAAGUGUUAGGGGGUUUCCGCCCCUUAGUGCUGCAGCUAACGCAUUAAGCACUCCGCCUGGGGAGUACGGUCGCAAGACUGAAACUCAAAGGAAUUGACGGGGGCCCGCACAAGCGGUGGAGCAUGUGGUUUAAUUCGAAGCAACGCGAAGAACCUUACCAGGUCUUGACAUCCUCUGACAAUCCUAGAGAUAGGACGUCCCCUUCGGGGGCAGAGUGACAGGUGGUGCAUGGUUGUCGUCAGCUCGUGUCGUGAGAUGUUGGGUUAAGUCCCGCAACGAGCGCAACCCUUGAUCUUAGUUGCCAGCAUUCAGUUGGGCACUCUAAGGUGACUGCCGGUGACAAACCGGAGGAAGGUGGGGAUGACGUCAAAUCAUCAUGCCCCUUAUGACCUGGGCUACACACGUGCUACAAUGGACAGAACAAAGGGCAGCGAAACCGCGAGGUUAAGCCAAUCCCACAAAUCUGUUCUCAGUUCGGAUCGCAGUCUGCAACUCGACUGCGUGAAGCUGGAAUCGCUAGUAAUCGCGGAUCAGCAUGCCGCGGGUGAAUACGUUCCCGGGCCUUGUACACACCGCCCGUCACACCACGAGAGUUUGUAACACCCGAAGUCGGUGAGGUAACCUUUUAGGAGCCAGCCGCCGANGUGGGACAGAUGAU